RNAcentral lists this ribosomal RNA (433 nucleotides) under uncultured bacterium. Its description in RNAcentral is "partial 16S ribosomal RNA". It matches the Rfam family "Bacterial small subunit ribosomal RNA", at positions 29 to 507 of the family's 1533-position model. The record is from RNAcentral.
AACGAACGCUGGCGGCAGGCUUAACACAUGCAAGUCGAGCGCAUCCUUCGGGGUGAGCGGCGGACGGGUGAGUAACGCGUGGGAACGUGCCCUCUUCUACGGAAUAGCCUCGGGAAACUGAGAGUAAUGCCGUAUACGCCCGCAAGGGGAAAGAUUUAUCGGAGGAGGAUCGGCCCGCGUUGGAUUAGGUAGUUGGUGGGGUAACGGCCUACCAAGCCGACGAUCCAUAGCUGGUUUGAGAGGAUGAUCAGCCACACUGGGACUGAGACACGGCCCAGACUCCUACGGGAGGCAGCAGUUGGGAAUCUUGGACAAUGGGGGCAACCCUGAUCCAGCCAUGCCGCGUGAUCGAUGAAGGCCUUAGGGUUGUAAAGAUCUUUCAGCUGGGAAGAUAAUGACGGUACCAGCAGAAGAAGCCCCGGCUAACUCCGUG